Molecule: long non-coding RNA, 5957 nt
Filed under: Homo sapiens (human)
Lineage: Eukaryota; Metazoa; Chordata; Mammalia; Primates; Hominidae
Description: HSALNT0353182
Source: RNAcentral
ACCAAUUCCGGACACAAUCUCAGCACUGUGGGAGACUGAGGCACCUGCCAAACCUGCACAGAUUCCUACAGCAGCCAGUUCGCUCUGUCUCGAGGCUUCAGAGGAACACGAACUUCUCUGAUGGAAGAGCCUUGUUCUAGAAGGGAGUGAAGCCUAGGUCUUUCCUGAGCACACAGAAGAUCAAGACCACACUCACUGACUUCUCAUAGUCAAGCAAUUUUGGCCAAUUAAAUGUCAGUUGGAAACUCCUGUGUCAGCUUCUCUGUGGCGGUGAGAAGUCCCUGUGUGACAUCCCAACUCUCCCCUCACCUGCGUUGGCAACCAAGAAAGCCUUGUGUUGGAGGUGGGGCCACAAGUUUAAAGCUAAGUUACCACCUCGAGGGCACAUUCCUGGAGAGCUUCCCAGGCCCACAGUGGCACGUGUAUGAGUGACAGAUCCACUUCUUUAUUACCUUUUUGAAGAACAGGAACCUUUGUCUGGAAAUUCCACAAGUAUGCCUUUUGCAAGAUUAAAAGUGCCACAAAGAACAAAAAUGAGCCCAGGACCAGAUGCAUGUUAAAAGCCAUCAGACACGUUAAGUUUCAUCUCCAUUGACCUGCAGAAGGAGUCUCUCACCACAGCCACCACAUCUAUGCAUGUGCUGAGUCACAUGUGAAGCCAGCACAUCUCAGAGUCUCACCGAAAGCUCAUGGUGAGACAAAGAGACUAGAAGGGGUAGAGUCAGCUAACUUCUCUCCUCCCACCACUGAUGAGGUUUUGGUGAAUUCUCUUCCCUUGCUCACUUGCAGAUUCAGCAGAGUUGUCUAUAGUGGCUUAAUUGGAAUUGCUGGACAAGAACAUUGAUUCUGCUUCACUCAGGUAAAGAUGAAAGUAACUGCAACAAUGGAUAUUGCAUUUGAAGGUCAUUGAGUUGUAGUCAGGCAAGGGGAGCAGAUAUUAAAACAUACACGCACAAAAUAAUGGGAUUUUUAUUUAGCAUCUCGCAAGUCUUGAGUAACAUAGUAUUAAUUGACCUUGAGAUUUCAUUCUUUUGUGACUCAUUGCAUUUGCUUUUGUGUUUCAGAUUAAUAUAGAAUAUUUUAAAGAAAGAGUAAUACAGCCAAUUUUAAUCUCUGGGAAGUUUAUGCAAGACAUAAUUUAUUUGUAAACUUUAUAAUAAUAUGUGAAUUAAAGACCCUUGUUAGUUUGGUAUGAAUCUGACAUAAGGGCUAAAAUCACUUUUUCAUUAGCCUUCUCCUGAUCUCAGGUUUACACCUAAGAGAUUCUUCACUCCAAAGUCUUCAUUUCCAAGCACAACCUGCUGGGUGCUGCGCUUUUCUGAGGUCUCCUCCCCAGCUCUGCAUCUAGCAGUGCUCAUGAUGCAAUGAUUUCCUGUCUGACUAUCCCAUUCCUAUCCUUUGCAAAGUUCACAUAGACCCAUUUGAGUACACUUUUAGUAGCAUACCAAGUUUAAGUGCCAAAGUUGUGUUUUAGUUCUUUCAUCCAGAAAGAAAACAUCAGCUGUUUCAAAUUUUAGAGUCCAGCUUGGGCAACAAGAGAAUUGUCAUGUCGUCGAUUGUGUAGUAAGACACAGUGAGUGUCCAGCAAUGUAAAAUCAGUCUAUAAAUGAGAAGAUUAAGACCAAAAGCAUCGGGUUACAAACAUCUCACUAAAGCCCAUUAGCAGGCAGAGAGCUCUCCGCGGAGCUAGAAAAUGAGACUUUUCCCUCCUUUCUGCCCCAUACAUUAGUGCUGAUCUCAGGAGCUCAUUUUUGCACCCUUUGUGGCAGACAACCAUAUAAUCAAAGGGUUCCCAUCACUAAAUCAUUUGAAAAGACAAGUAGAAAUUAGCUUUAGCUAAUUUAACUAGCCUUUGCCCCUCCUCCUGACCCUGAGGGUGAAGCACAUUUUAUCAUUCAUCCUCUGGGGGCUGGCUUAUGCUGGCUCCCUUUCCUUUGGCAGUGAUUUUAAGCAACCAAGUUCUUAUUACAAUUCUCAAAUUUAAAAUUAAGUUCUGAUCACAUCUUCUCAGGGCAUACCUAAGAGGCAGUGUUUAUCCCCAGCCAAAUCAAUUGUUUCCUCAAGUGACUCAUUCCUGAAAAUGUUAUUGUUUCUAAUAACCAGCUCAAAUAUGUAUUUUCAUUAAUCUUUUCUUUUACCUCCAUUUCACACGUGUUGCUGCAUGUCAGGCAGUUUCCACAAGGAUCUGCCAUGACAUCAUUGUGUGAGGUAUGAAAAAAAAAUUUUUUUUUUUCUAAUUUAAGAAUUACUUUUACUCAGAUGGUGGCUGGGCUGGGAAAUGUUCCCCAUUGCCCUGGGAGUUUUAGGCCAAGGCUUGUGUGUGUGUGUGUGUGUGUGUGUGUGUUGGAAGGGUCUCUCAUUGCCUAUUUCUGCUUAUAUAACACACACUGGUUUAGGUAGGUGGAGUCAGAAUGGGAAGAGGAAGUUCCCUAAGUGUUUCUUGCAUGCAAAGGUAAGUGGAGAAUGCCCAUCUGGGCACACAGGGCAAGGAUGCAGUGGAGUGACCUCUCCUUUCCCCUCCAACUCACAUGCUGGAGUUUAAAAACUGUAUCAGGAUGACAGAAACCAAGGGGUAAGACCACGGCUUCCUCUGGGGAUCUUCUAUAAACUGUAAGAACAAACACAGGUAUUUUGUAGUUCUUUAUCACAACGGGUCCUUUGCUGAUGAUUCUAGGUUUUAUGACUGCUGUUUUAUGUCCUACAAAUAGUAACAGGCAUUUCCCUUUGCCCUACACCACAGUAAGCCACUGGCCUAGACAAGAAGCAACUCUGCACUGCUUUUCAAACAUCAUCCUCCCUCUCGACCGCAGGGACUAUUUGGUUUCUAUUCUACUUCUGGCCUUUCAUAUUCCUGAUGGUGCAUUGGAUGAAACCCCGCAGCCAGGCGUGUGAACGUGGUUGAAAAGACCCAUGGAGGACCAGCAACGCUUCCCCACAGCGUGGGAUGGUCCCCUCCUGAGAUGGCCCACUGUCAGCGGGACUGACGCCAAGCACUGCAUCCUGUCUGCUUCUUGAACAGCCCCUUCAUUGUUUGUUCAGCUAUUCUGCUGCAUCUGCAGAUAGCCCUGCCUGAGAAACAGCCUCAAACCAGAAGGAGAGGAUGGCGGCAAGCCUUAGAGAAACAUAUGACCGUAAAGAAAAUUUGGGAAUGUGUAUUUCAGGGAAAAUGAAAAUGAUCCCAAUAAAGAUCGGAGAUGCAGGAAGGAAGGAAAACAUAGAAAUUGAGCCAGUUGGAGUGUGAGGCUUCAGAAUCGCCUUCCAACUCUCUGUGCACUGCACCAGCUGCUUCCCAUAGACUCCUGGUAAAAUAUAGAGCGGAAGGAAGAAGAGCCACUACCCAUAACAUCAGUGGCUGCUAACUAAGGAGUGUUUUGACAUGCUGGUACAGCCUAUCCUCAGCUUUCCAGAAGGUGGAAUCUUGUGAUAGUGGAAAGAAGUAGAAGAGAUGAAGUACCUAUGACUCCAGGAUUUGCCAGUGAAAGAAGUCAACAAUAUUUUAACUUUGAUCUUAACCAAAAGGCCAAGAAGUGAUGCUAAUAUUUUCAUAUACUACGACAGUUGCAGACACACGUCUAUCAUAGCUGGGUAGUAAUCCAGGCAACUCUGCCACAAGUCAUGGGCUCAGCCACCAGUCCACGAAGUCUCCAGUCACACAUAUUGCUUCGGACUAUUCUCUAUCCCCAGUUGUCAAUUAACUAAAAUAUUAAAUGAGGAUGCCAUGGAGUCCCCCAACUGAUUUCAUAAAUUUGGUGUCACAUUGUAAAUCAAGCAGCUGCAGAGUGGCUGGGACAUCUGUUUGGUUCUGUUAUUCUCUUUACUCCAAAAGGAAACUAACUCCAAAAGAAGAAAACCUGAUGUCUGAGCUGAAUCCUAAUCAUGAAGAUGUUUUUCCACCAUUCCUGUCUGUGUUUUUCUACCAUUCCUGUCUGUGUUUUUCUACCAAAGUGUGCUCUUGAAGUUCUGCAUUUCCCAGGGUGUGGUGAAAGAAGAGAAAAAAAUGUCCAAGAUGACUUCAACGUUCUGACCUUGAGUGGCUUGAGUGAAUGGAGUUACAACUGUGCAGAAAGAUUCAGUAGAGAGUUUUGGAUUUAUGCACCAGUAAGGGGAAAACUGAACAGCUGCAGAGAGCUGUAACUUUUAUAGGAGAUUAAUCUAUAAGAGAAGACAGCAAACUACAGCCUGUGUGUCAAAUCCUACUUGCCACGUCCACUGAAAGCUAACUACACUGGAACACUCUCAUUUCUGCAAAGAAAAAUAUCAUAUCCCAGGAUGAAAAGGAGGAGGAAGAGGAAAGGCUAACUUAACAAGAAGCUCUUUGACAUUCUUGAAUUAGACACCCAACGUAGUCCACGCAGUACGGAGGAUGACUUCAGAAGUGCAAUUCUGAUAUGGACUUUGUCUCCCUAAGGCUUUCAGUUCCUCAUAUUUAGGAUAAAACAGAAGUUUAUGUAAAGCCAAGGGAGAGGGUCACCGGGAGAGGGAAGGAGGAACAGCAGAAGGAGAGGUCCACACAUGAAAAUACUUGGAAGCGCCCCAGGGCCUAUCAGAUGCAGGUCUUGGCGGAAAUUACCAAACAUACUUUAGACAGGCUGCUGUGUUGCUGAGUGUGGACUGGCCUCAGGGCCUGCUGAUCAAAGCAAAAGGAAGCAGUGAAAAAAACAUCACCAUGUCUUCUUAGAGUCUAAUCUGGGGGCAAGAGGCCAGCAUGCACAGUUGGUGCUGAUUUUCUUGGGCGGAUAGAGGAAAGGUGUAGGCGUGGCCAACAUUUGAGCAGCAUGUGGUUCCUCUCACACGCCAUGCUGUUUCCGGCCUCCUUGCAUUUUACUCAUGCCAUCCUCCUGGUCACUUCUUUGAGAUAUUAAGUGCAUUCUUUAGGACUCAGACUCAGCUCAAGGGUCAGUGCAUCCAUGAAGCCUUACCUGGAUCCCAGAGGGAGCUCUGUGCUCCUCCUUUGUCUCCUAUAGGACCCAGUACAUGCGUCCAGUAUUAUCCAUACACACUGAAAUGAUCUAGCAUGUGUCUUCCCAUAGGAUUUCAAAUUCUUAGAAUAUAGGAGUGAUGCCUUCUUCCUACUUAUAUUUCCAGUGUUAACAGUGCCUGUCAAUUGACUUGAAGAUAACUAAAAGUCUGGUUGUUAAGGGCUGCUUCCCACCUCCAAAUACUUCCCUGGAAGUCAUUGUAUGGGCACUGACAUUGGUAGGUCUCCACUGGCUUGUAGAUGCUUCUGAUUAUAAGGUAGUCUCAGAUGCCUUCAGAAAGUUCUAAGACUGUAUAAAACAUUUCCUUCACAACCAAUAACUGUGUAUUAUUGUUCGUGUAAUUCCAGAAGUUAUCCUUUUGAUAGAGAGCAAUUACUUUAUUGAUUGAGAGUUAGCUAAUUAUGUAAUAAAGGUAAAGAUUUGCAUAGAGAAGUGUAAGAGACAUGGAGAAGAUUCUUGGUGGGUGGUGAGGGCGGGUACAUUUACACCAGACCAAGACUGAUCUGGCUGUGGCGCUGGAGAUUAAACUGUUUAAAUAUGGGAUCCUAAGAAGACUUCUGUGCAUUCUAGACUUCAAGAGACAGAUUGCAUUUUUUUUUAGGAAAUGUAGAUAAAACCCUUUGACUGAAUGACUCUAGAAAAUAAUACUGAUUUGAGAGAGAAAGGAAAUUCUAAAACAAAAUCCUGACAGCAGAGGCAUGAAUGAUCCUCAUGAGGAAGAAAUGAGACUCUGCUUAACUACACUGUAGAUUUUGGUGUGGAAGAAGAUGGAAGGUGGGUAUAUAGCCAAAUUUUGAAUACAAUAGGGCAGCACAAAACUGUGACAACAGUGGCAGAAGGACUGAAGUACAGAAUGUGUGAAAGUUGUUGUGAAAUAAAUAGAGAGCAACAGAAAAGGACUAUUUGGGCUGGGCAAUGGUAAUCCCAGAACUUUGGGAGGCUGAGUCAGGUGGAUCACCUGAGGUCAGGAGCUCAAGA